Non-coding RNA from Coturnix japonica (Japanese quail), 2382 nucleotides. The record is from RefSeq and is a predicted model, not a curated record. Lineage: Eukaryota; Metazoa; Chordata; Aves; Galliformes; Phasianidae.
GGCCCCGGCUGCGGGAAAGCGGCGGUGAGGAGAAUCCGACAGCCCUCACCUCACAGGGGCAGCCCUUACCUCAUAGGGGCAGCCCUCAUCCCCACACAAAGGCCUUGCGUUCCCUACGGUGCUGUGAGCUCACAGCUUGACACCGACCCCAUCCACAGAGGCAAAAACGAAGUUAAACCCCCACAUCACUCACACUGCCCGUGAGCACAGACCCUGCAUGAUCCCAACUGAGGAAACAGAGCCGUCAACACAAGCUGAGCAACAAGAGAGCUGCUAACAGCCCCGGCACACCUGGGAUGCCCAGGAAGGUGUUGUGUGAGUUCCCAUACCAGACCAGCAGCUCUUGAUCCGGAGGAAUCAUCUAAAGAAGGACACAGACAUGAGGGUGUUGGGAUGGCACAGCAAGCCAGCAAUCUUCAGCCGGUUGUUCCAGACUCCUGCAAGGUCAGCACUGCCAUCAGCACUGCUCAAUGCCCCCAGCACUGCCAGGACACCGUGCACACUGACAGUGAUGGCAUCACUCUGCACCACGUACUGCAGCACCACGUAGUGCUGGCACUGAGCUGCACCUCAGUCUGCCCAGGUCCAGGAGUGGGCAAAGGAGCAGCAGUAGGGCACAGAGCCUGCACAUCCCCAUAGUUCAAGGAGAAGGAGGUGUAGCAGCACACAUUGACGUGUAGAAUUAAGCUGUUGUGCACCCACAGACUGCAGCAAGGUGCAAGGAUGCAGAGAUCGGACUCGGUGCUAUACACAGUGCUCUGCAUGGAGCCCUUGGCACUCUGUGCUGCAGGACACAACAGCAUCUCCCAGCCCAGCACGGUUAUUCCCCAGCAGUGGAAAUGGAGGUAGAAAUGUAGAUGCAGCCUUGGGCUCGGACAGAGUAGGGAACCAGCCCAGAUCCCAGCGGCUGCUGCAGGAAAGCAUGAUCCAGGCAUGAGAUGCUGCCUCUUCCAAAGCCCCAUUGCCUCCACCAGCUCAAGCAGAGAACAGGAAGGGCUUCUCUAUCAGCGCUGCUCUUGUUCCUAUGGGAUGACAGCACUCCUCCCACCACUGGUGUUUGGGUUCUGGUUCUGCACUGCAGUGAGAGCAGGGACAGCGCCCAAGCAGCCUCUGCAGCACAGCCACGGCCAGAGGAUGGAUGUGCUCACAGCAACAGCAUCAGGCAGCACUCAUAGCAACACCGCCCUACAAAACUACGUAUCUCCCCCUUGCAGGUCCUUAGCGCUAUGGAUCUAAUUUAGAAGCAAGAGAAUGCUGAGUUUCAGAGGUUGGCUUUCUAUGCACAGAGUUCAGGAGAAGCAGAACUGCAAGUCAGGUCACCACAGCACUGUUAAAGUGCCUGAUUUGAUGCACCUGAAAGCAGUGCUGGUUCGGCUCCAUGUGUUUCUAUUUCAGCAUCACUGUGGUUACAGAUCUGAAAGAUGGGACCAUCGCUUCCCAUCCCAAACCAGUGCCGUUCCUCACCAUCAUUUCCUUAUAAUAUGAAUUUCAUUUAAUACAAGCAAAUAGAAAUUAAUACUGCUGGAAAGAUACUGAGAUGGUCUGUGCCCCACAAUAUUCCACCCAUGCAGCUCUGGGUUAAGGGAUUAAUGAGCAGAGUGAGCUACAGGAGGAAAACCAGAACCUCCUCUUGUUGCUGCACCAACAGUUGGAGCCAGCAGAAGCUCUCAGUGGCUCCAUGCCCCGAUGGCAGCAGCACAGCAGCACCUCGUGUGCCCACAUCCCCUGUGCACAGAGCUCAGAGCUCUUAGUGCUUCAGCUUUACUAUCUGAGCAAAGGGAAUUAAACACAGCUGCCCCGGUGCUCAGAUCAUUAUCGUUGUGCAAAGCCUGCAGAUAACAUUGCCACCCACCCCAACAGCUGGGCACGGGUGUUGCCUGGAAUUGUUUUGUUUCUUUGCAUGAUGUAAGAAUCAAAACCAAUUAAGCUAAUGCCUCUAAUGCUACACCAGGCACAGCUGCCCGCUGGAGCAUCAGGAUCUAAAGCUGGGCACAGCGAGAGCCUGCAAAGGGAUGUGCAGAGCAGGGAGGGCAGCUCGGAGCUCCUUCUCCCCACCCUAUUGCUCCUAUCCCUGUCCCCAUUGGGGUGCUGCCUCAGUGCUGUGUUACUGCCCACAGAGCAGCGAUUCUCAGCCAUGGGACAGGCAGCUGAGACAGAGCUGUCCCUUUUCCAACCCCUCUAAGCCCACACAGCCGCCUGGUGACAUCCCUGCGAUGCCAUCACCCUUCAGUAGCAGUGGUCCAUGGGGAUGCAUUUACUGCCACAGCCACACUGACCUCCAGGUAAAAGCUGCAGAGUGAAGCGCAGCCUCCACCUGGAUUCACAGAAGCCUCCAGCUUUGGGUUGUGGUUCUACACUAAAUCCUGUUUCUCAAUACAACAU